RNAcentral lists this ribosomal RNA (1474 nucleotides) under metagenome. RNAcentral's name for it is "bacterial SSU rRNA". It matches the Rfam family "Bacterial small subunit ribosomal RNA". The record is from RNAcentral.
AGAGUUUGAUCAUGGCUCAGGACGAACGCUGGCGGCGCGCCUAACACAUGCAAGUCGAACGAGCGAGAGAGAGCUUGCUUUCUCGAGCGAGUGGCGAACGGGUGAGUAACGCGUGAGGAACCUGCCUCAAAGAGGGGGACAACAGUUGGAAACGACUGCUAAUACCGCAUGAGCCCACGGGUCGGCAUCGACCAGAGGGAAAAGGAGCAAUCCGCUUUGAGAUGGCCUCGCGUCCGAUUAGCUAGUUGGUGAGGUAACGGCCCACCAAGGCAACGAUCGGUAGCCGGACUGAGAGGUUGAACGGCCACAUUGGGACUGAGACACGGCCCAGACUCCUACGGGAGGCAGCAGUGGGGAAUAUUGCACAAUGGGGGAAACCCUGAUGCAGCGACGCCGCGUGGAGGAAGAAGGUCUUCGGGUUGUAAACUCCUGUUGUUGAGGAAGAUAAUGACGGUACUCAACAAGGAAGUGACGGCUAACUACGCGCCAGCAGCCGCGGUAAAACGUAGGUCACAAGCGUUGUCCGGAAUUACUGGGUGUAAAGGGAGCGCAGGCGGGAAGACAAGUUGGAAGUGAAAUCCAUGGGCUCAACCCAUGAACUGCUUUCAAAACUGUUUUUCUUGAGUAGUGCAGAGGUAGGCGGAAUUCCCGGUGUAGCGGUGGAAUGCGUAGAUAUCGGGAGGAACACCAGUGGCGAAGGCGGCCUACUGGGCACCAACUGACGCUGAGGCGCGAAAGCGUGGGGAGCGAACAGGAUUAGAUACCCUGGUAGUCCACGCUGUAAACGAUGAAUGCUAGGUGUAGGGGGUAUCGACCCCUCCUGUGCCGGAGUAAACGCAAUAAGCAUUCCGCCUGGGGAGUACGGCCGCAAGGUUGAAACUCAAAGGAAUUGACGGGGGCCCGCACAAGCAGCGGAGCAUGUUGUUUAAUUCGAUGCAACGCGAAGAACCUUACCAGGUCUUGACAUCCAAUUAAAGUCAUAGAGAUAUGAUGUCUCUUCGGAGGAAUUGAGACAGGUGGUGCAUGGUUGUCGUAAGCUCGUGUCGUGAGAUGUUGGGUUAAGUCCCGCAACGAGCGCAACCCUUAUAAUCAGUUACUAACGGGAAAGCCGAGGACUCUGAUAAGACUGCCGGGGACAACUCGGAGGAAGGUGGGGACGACGUCAAAUCAUCAUGCCCCUUAUGACCUGGGCUACAAACGUGCUACAAUGGCGACUACAAAGAGAAGCGAGUCUGUGAAGAUAAGCGGAUCUCAAAAAAGCCGUCCCAGUUCGGAUUGUGGGCUGCAACCCGCCCACAUGAAGUUGGAGUUGCUAGUAAUCGCGGAUCAGAAUGCCGCGGUGAAUACGUUCCAGGGCCUUGUACACACCGCCCGUCACACCAUGGGAGUUGGGAGCACCCGAAGCCGGUGAGCUAACGCAAGGAGCAGCCGUCUAAGGUGAGACCGAUGACUGGGGUGAAGUCGUAACAAGGUA